UACGUAGGGGCCUAGCGUUGUCCGGAUUUAUUGGGCGUAAAGAGCUCGUAGGCGGUUUGGUGAGUCGGGUGUGAAAUCUCCACGCUCAACGUGGAGGGGCCACCCGAUACUGCCAUGACUAGAGUCCGGUAGGGGAGUGUGGAAUUCCCGGUGUAGCGGUGAAAUGCGCAGAUAUCAGGAGGAACACCGGUGGCGAAGGCGGGUCUCUGGGCCGUAACUGACGCUGAGGAGCGAAAGCGUGGGGAGCGAACAGG
Molecule: ribosomal RNA, 254 nt
Filed under: uncultured bacterium
Lineage: Bacteria
Description: partial 16S ribosomal RNA
Rfam family: Bacterial small subunit ribosomal RNA
Source: RNAcentral